GAGGUCACUUCAGCAGCACAUAUACUAAAAUUGUGAUGAUGCAAAGAUUAGCAUAGCCCCUGUGCAAAGAUGACAUGUAAAUUCAUGAAGUGCUCCAUAAAAAA
Molecule: small nuclear RNA, 104 nt
Filed under: Procavia capensis (Cape rock hyrax)
Lineage: Eukaryota; Metazoa; Chordata; Mammalia; Hyracoidea; Procaviidae
Source: RNAcentral